Molecule: non-coding RNA, 4355 nt
Organism: Paramisgurnus dabryanus
Lineage: Eukaryota; Metazoa; Chordata; Actinopteri; Cypriniformes; Cobitidae
Source: RefSeq, a predicted model, not a curated record
AAGUUAUUUGCCUACUUCAAAAUCACCAGUGUUUUCCUACAAAAAAAAGUUGAGUAAAAACAAUAAUUAAUAUGCCAAACGAAUCAUAGAUACUACCAAAAGACCUUUCCUCACCAGAGCGGGAAGCUGUGGAGGAGUUGUUGCCCGGCAUUCGCACCAGACGGUACAGCUUGCCACACAUCACCCUGGCUCCAGGCACCCGGAGACGACCAAGGCAUGCAACGAGCGAGCACCCAUCUCGAUGCAGCUUCACGGACCGCGUUCGGGCGAACGGAGACGCUAUCGCACAGCAUGAAAACGGUAAGACUCCGCUUGUCAUUGUAACCUGCACUACUUGCCACAUGUACAGUUUAGCUUCUUCCGUCAGCACAGAGGGGUUUACAUGUGUUAAAUGUAUUGAAGUAGUAAGGCUAACGGAGAAGGUUGCAGAACUAGAAGCGCACAUCCGAACGCUCGUUGAGGAUGGUAAAACCGCUAAUGUUAAUGUUUCAAACACUGUUUCGGGUGCGCCUACGGUAACGUGUAGUACACAUAGCUCGGUUUCGGCAACUGAGUUAACACGGCCGACUAACUGGGUGACUAUCAGGCGGCGUAGUCAUAUUCGAUGCCCAUCGAAGUCCCCCCUAGUAAUUUCUAAUAGAUUCGACAUCCUAAGCAAUACACCGGCUGAGACAUCUGUUAAAGGUGCCCUUGUUAUUGGAGACUCGAUACUAAAGAACGUGAACAUUGAGGCACCAGCCACCAUAGUUGACUGUAUACCGGGAGCCAGAUCGUCAGACAUUAGAUCCAAACUUAAAAUGCUGGCUAAUGCUAAGCGUAAGUUUUCAAAAAUUGUUAUUCAUGCCGGCGCAAAUGACACCAGACUACGCCAGUCGGAGAUCACCAAAUAUACUAUUAAAGAGGUGUGUAAAAUUGCAAAAACAAUGUCAGAUAUUGUAAUAUGCUCUGGUCCCCUCCCCGCCUACCGGGGUGAUGAAACUUAUAGCAGAUUAGUGUCUCUUCACCACUGGAUGUCAAAAUGGUGCCCUCAGCAUAACGUAGUGUUUAUAGACAAUUGGAAGCACUUCAGGGGGAGACCUGACCUGCUAAAGAGAGAUGGCCUUCAUCCGUCAUCGGAAGGAAAUGCUAUACUCUCUAGAAAUCUGACCAAUACUCUUAAUUCUAAUACAGUCUGACUACCCAGGGCCCAGGUCAGGAAACAGAUAGAUCGGCCUACCCGUCCAUCUGUUAGCUGCUCUGACAUGUCAAGAUCACAUAUAUCGCAGAACUUAGAGUCUAUCUUACCAGAGUAUCAACACAUUUCAACUGUGUGCGUUCCUCGAACAAACGAAUACAGAGCACCGUUUACCUCGUCUCGUACAAAUCUUACUAACAUAAAAUUAGAAAACAAUACGUUUACAGAUGAACCUCGAAUGUUAAAAUUCGGCCUUCUUAACAUUAGAUCGCUUACCAAUAAGGAACCCAUUGUCAAUGAAAUAAUUACUGACCAAAACUUAGAUGCACUCUCUUUAACAGAAACCUGGCUUAAAGCAGACGAUUACAUUAUUUUAAACGAAUCCACCCCACAAGACUACUAUUACAAACAUGAACCGCGAUUAAAGGGGAGAGGGGGUGGUGUAGCUACAAUAUACAACAACAUUUUUAAAGUUAACCAAAAAUCUGAACUAAAAUUUAAUUCAUUUGAAAUAAUGCUAUUAAAUAUGGAAAUAACUGAUCGUAACCAUAAACAGCUCUCUUUUGUCCUUGCUACAAUCUAUAGACCUCCGGGCCAUCAUGCAGAUUUUCUUAAAGAAAUAUCAAAUUUCCUGUCUGACCUCGUAGUCACUGUAGAUAAAGCUCUUAUCGUUGGUGACUUUAAUAUACACGUUGAUAACCCAACAGAUACAUUAGGAUUAGCGUUUAUAGAUAUUCUAAAUUCUCUCGAUAUUAGACAAAACGUGACAGGGCCCACGCAUACCCGUAGGCACACAUUAGACUUAAUUCUGUCACUCGGGCUCAAUAUUAAUGAAAUCGAGAUAUCACCUCAGAGCGAUGCAGUUUCAGACCAUUGCCUUGUCUCAUACACGGUACCUCUAGAUAGGAUCACUCGAACCACAAAAUGCUACCGACUAGCCAGAACAAUAAUUUCAACCACUAAAUAUAACUUUAUUAGCACUCUUCCAGACCUGUCCCAAAUGAAACAUGUAGCAGAUAAUCCUGAAGAUCUAGAUAUUCUAAUAGAAAACCUGAACAGUAUUUGUUCUAACACAUUGGAUGCCGUAGCUCCAAUUCGAAAAAAGAGAAUCAAAGAAAAAACGCCAGCUCCAUGGUACGACCAUCAUACCGCAUCCCUUAAAAAGGCUGCUAGAAAAAUGGAAAGAAACUAUAGAAGCACAAAGUUAGAGGUAUGGCGUGCAGCAUGGAAAGAGAGUGUUAAACACUACAGACAGGCUAUAAAAAUUGCCAGAUCUACGUAUCUCAGCAAUCUUAUUAAAGAAAAUCAUAAUAACCCUCGCUUCCUCUUUAGCACAGUUGCGAAACUGACUAGAAAUAAAGAACAAACAGAACCCACUAAUAAACUCCCACACAAUAGUAACGACUUCAUGAACUUCUUUACUAAGAAAAUUAUGAUUAUUAGGGAAAACAUUGUAGGUACCCAAGCAGCCACCACUCUACCCAGUAAUAUAUUUAACGCUAGCUUACCAUACCAACAUCUUGAGUCAUUUAAACCUACUACAAUAGAAGAGCUAUCUAAAUUAGUAGCGUCAUCCAAAUCAUCAUCCUGUAUAUUGGACCCUGUUCCCACAAAAUUACUCAAAGAGGUAUUCCCUGUAGUGUCUAACCCAGUACUAAAUGUAUUUAACUCAUCACUAGAAUUAGGCUACGUUCCCACAGCUUUCAAACUAGCAGUUAUUAGACCGCUCAUUAAAAAACCAAACCUUGACCAGGGAGAUCUAAAUAACUUUAGACCAAUCUCAAAUCUCCCUUUUCUUUCCAAAAUAUUAGAAAAAGUAGUGGCAAGCCAGCUACGUACAUUCUUAGCAAAUAAUAGUACAUAUGAAAAGUUCCAAUCAGGAUUCAGGCCCCACCAUAGCACAGAGACAGCGCUGCUUAGAGUUACAAAUGACCUUCUCCUAACAUCCGAUCGUGGCGAAAUAUCACUCCUUAUAUUAUUAGACCUUAGUGCAGCCUUUGACACAAUAGAUCACACAAUCUUACUUAAUAGGCUAGAAAACUAUGUUGGCAUCAGUGGUCAAGCGCUAGCCUAGUUCAGAUCGUAUCUAACCAAUCGCUAUCACUUUGUUUAUGUAAACGAGGAGGAGUCACAUCACUCCCUGGUUAAAUACGGCGUACCGCAGGGAUCAGUUUUAGGUCCUAUCCUGUUCUCGUUAUAUAUGUUACCUCUGGGAGAUAUUAUUAGGAAUCAUAACAUACAGUUUCACUGCUACGCCGAUGACACACAGCUUUACAUCUCCUCACAUCCUAGCGAAACACACAAUUUUUCUAAGCUAUCAGACUGCAUCAGUGAUAUAAGUGACUGGAUGGCACAUAACUUUCUUAUGCUAAACUCCAAUAAGACAGAGAUACUUGUUAUUGAACCGAAUCGCUACAAAUAUAAUAUGACAGACUACAAGUUGCCCAUAGAUGGCUGCACUGUGGUGCCAACCUCCACGGUUAAGAAUUUAGGUGUGAUGUUUGACAGAAAUUUAUCCUUCGACAGCCAUAUCUCCAAUGUCUGCCGCACAGCAUUCUUCCACCUUAGAAAUAUCUCAAAAAUACGCCAUAUGUUGUCUGCAUCAGAUGCAGAGAAGCUUAUCCACGCUUUUAUGACCUCUAGAAUAGACUAUUGUAACUCGUUACUCGGAGGAUGCCAUGCAAAUCAGGUAAACAAGCUUCAGCUAGUUCAAAACGCUUCUGCGAGAGUUCUUACUCGAUCUAAGAAGUAUGACCGCAUAAGCCCAAUUCUGGCAUCUUUACACUGGCUACCAGUUAAAUAUCGUAUACAAUUUAAAAUAUUACUAAUCACCUACAAAGCCUUAAAUGGCCUAGCACCCUCAUAUCUUAGAGAAUUAUUAUCAGAAUACAAUCCAUCACGUGCAUUGCGGUCACAAAAUUCUGGCCUCUUAAUAAUCCCUAAAAUAUCAAAAGUGUCUAAAGGUGGCAGAUCCUUUUCCUACUUAGCCCCUAAGCUAUGGAAUGAUUUACCAACCGACGUCCGAAAAUCAGAGACGGUAGAUAACUUUAAAUCUAGACUUAAAACUUUUCUCUUUAACAAGGCAUUCGCAUAGUUUGUUUUAGCAAUAGUACUUAUCUCCCAAUAGCUAGCUUGUACAACCUAAUAAAUAAAUAAAUUAAUGAAUAAAUUAAAACCUUUC